UGAGGGAUGACGGCCUUCGGGUUGUAAACCUCUUUCAGUAGGGACGAAGCGCAAGUGACGGUACCUACAGAAGAAGCACCGGCCAACUACGUGCCAGCAGCCGCGGUAAUACGUAGGGUGCGAGCGUUGUCCGGAUUUACUGGGCGUAAAGAGCUCGUAGGCGGUUUGUCACGUCGUCUGUGAAAACCCGAGGCUUAACCUCGGGCCUGCAGGCGAUACGGGCAGACUUGAGUACUGUAGGGGAGACUGGAAUUCCUGGUGUAGCGGUGGAAUGCGCAGAUAUCAGGAGGAACACCGGUGGCGAAGGCGGGUCUCUGGGCAGUAACUGACGCUGAGGAGCGAAAGCGUGGGUAGCGAACAGGAUUAGAUACCCUGGUAGUCCACGCCGUAAACGGUGGGUACUAGGUGUGGGUUUCCUUCCACGGGAUCCGUGCCGUAGCUAACGCAUUAAGUACCCCGCCUGGGGAGUACGGCCGCAAGGCUAAAACUCAAAGGAAUUGACGGGGGCCCGCACAAGCGGCGGAGCAUGUGGAUUAAUUCGAUGCAACGCGAAGAACCUUACCUGGGUUUGACAUAUAGAGGAUCGCCGGA
RNAcentral lists this ribosomal RNA (591 nucleotides) under Tsukamurella pulmonis. Its description in RNAcentral is "bacterial SSU rRNA". It matches the Rfam family "Bacterial small subunit ribosomal RNA", at positions 402 to 1003 of the family's 1533-position model. Lineage: Bacteria; Bacillati; Actinomycetota; Actinomycetes; Mycobacteriales; Tsukamurellaceae. The record is from RNAcentral.